GUUUUCUGCCCUACGUGUUUCCAGUCAACGGCGGCCAUCCCAAGCCUGGAGAUCCUCUUCACACGUCGACGGUCGACAGAUCGGAGCUCCGACUCAUCAACUUGCAGCUCACCAAACAGGACAAUUACAAUGCUUGGGCUCGAGACCUCCGGCAAGCGCUUGUAAAAAAGGACAAGGAUGGUUUCCUUGAUAGAACCGUCCCCUAUUCGACCAACGAACGAUUGCAACGAUUUUGGAGAAAAUGCAACCAAUUAAUGCAUACCUGGAUUGGAGAUUGUCUCGCUCCGAAAGUUGCAACUAGGCUACCGCCAACUGAGGACUCGAAGACCUUUUGGGCGAACAUUUGAGAGAUGUAUGGGCAUCUUGAUCCGGCGAAGCUCUUUACUAUCACUCAGGCCAUUUCAGAACUGAGAAAAGGAAAUCAAUCAGUCACUACCUGCUUCAAUCGACUCUCGACUCUCUGGAAUGAGCUCGAGACGGCUGAGGAACGUCUCGAGGGACCUAAAGCAACGUUGCAAUAAUACCGAAAAAUUAAGGAACGGGAGAAAGUGACUCGGUAUCUACUUAUUUUGAACGACACAUACUCACCCUUUCGAUCACAAAUCUUGGCGAUGGACCCAUUACCUUCGCUCGGCCAAAUCUACCAACUGGCAGUCCAAGAGGAAAGCCAACGGCAAGCC
Molecule: long non-coding RNA, 680 nt
Filed under: Eucalyptus grandis
Lineage: Eukaryota; Viridiplantae; Streptophyta; Magnoliopsida; Myrtales; Myrtaceae
Description: long non-coding RNA (EGRA_LNC005067)
Source: RNAcentral